GUAGAUAUAGUUUACAAAAAAACAUUAGAUUGUGAAUCUGAUAACAGGAAAUUGAUCCUCCUUAUCUACC
Molecule: transfer RNA, 70 nt
Filed under: Mastomys erythroleucus (Guinea multimammate mouse)
Lineage: Eukaryota; Metazoa; Chordata; Mammalia; Rodentia; Muridae
Description: tRNA-His
Rfam family: tRNA
About the family: Transfer RNA (tRNA) molecules are approximately 80 nucleotides in length. Their secondary structure includes four short double-helical elements and three loops (D, anti-codon, and T loops).
Source: RNAcentral